UGUUGCGCGCGGCCGUGCGCGUUACCUGUGAAGGCUUUGGGCCUUUGCGAAUUCAAAUUGCAGCAAAUAAUAUCCUCCACUCCGUAGUGCAGCUCCAGCGCUCCAGUAGCUUCACCGUUAUCCAGUACGGUGUCCAGGGAAACUUUACACUGUCGGAUGGGUCGUAUUAUUCGAUGUUUGCACUGUAUCCAGCCCACACCUCCGUCACUCCUAGGCCCUUUCCUUUGUUUGUCUCCCGCAUCCAGGAUGAUGUCCGGCUUGCCGUCCUGCAGGACGCGCUGGCGUUUUGAUGGCAGUGGCUGUUUGGUCCGCUGGAGCCCAAAAAGCUCCAUAUCUGUCUGCCUUUUUAUCCCUCCAUCCAUCCUGUCCCUCCAUCCUUCAUCUCCUGGGGUUUCCAUCAACGUGCUCGAUGCACCAGCAUCAUCAUUCUCCCGAGUGACCAGCAGAUGUCACUAUUAUCUCUGUGUUAAAUCUCACUGGACUGCCGCUGCUGACAUGUCUGGCUCACACUGAUAGCAUUUGUCAAAUUUGUUUCACAUCAUUACACUUUUUUAUUCAACACACCCUCUCGAAGUGAACUAUUGUCAAAUGAUAAAUCUUUCUAAUGAGUUCAAAGCAGCCGAUGAUUUUGGCAAGUCUGACCCAACCCUAAUGAAGUUAUAAGGAAUUUGUUGAAGGUCUAAACGUGAUAAAUGUGAUAAAUCUAUGUUAACAGCUAUCCGCGUGCAGCUUGUGUAUGUAUAUGCAAGGUGAUGGGACUAAACCGGAAAGAAGCCGUCCAUUUUGUGUUCUUUGACUUUUUUCGGUGUCAUAACAUCCUCAUCAUAAAGACGUUAAUAUGACACUAUAGAACUCUUCAAAAGGGUUCGUGGGAACGCCACGAGAAAAAUAGACUUCUUUGAUGUAAAUAUGUGCAAUGAAGAUGUUUUGAUUUUUUUAAAGGCAGGCUGGAAUGUGAAGUAUUUAAAUGUGAAGUAAUUAUGUUAUGUUAUUGUUAUGUCAAAUCAAUUGUCACCCAGAAUUAUUCGUAUUAUAGAUUAAAC
Molecule: long non-coding RNA, 1043 nt
Organism: Gasterosteus aculeatus aculeatus (three-spined stickleback)
Lineage: Eukaryota; Metazoa; Chordata; Actinopteri; Perciformes; Gasterosteidae
Source: Ensembl